GGUGAACGCUGGCGGCGUGCCUAAGACAUGCAAGUCGAGCGGGCCGCGGGGUUUUACUCCGUGGUCAGCGGCGGACGGGUGAGUAACGCGUGGGUGACCUACCCGGAAGAGGGGGACAACCCGGGGAAACUCGGGCUAAUCCCCCAUGUGGACCCGCCCCUUGGGGUGUGUCCAAAGGGCUUUGCCCGCUUCCGGAUGGGCCCGCGUCCCAUCAGCUAGUUGGUGGGGUAAUGGCCCACCAAGGCGACGACGGGUAGCCGGCCUGAGAGGGUGGCCGGCCACAGGGGCACUGAGACACGGGCCGCACUCCUACGGGAGGCAGCAGUUAGGGAUCUUCCGCAAUGGGCGCAAGCCUGACGGAGCGACGCCGCUGGGAGGAAGAAGCCCUUCGGGGUGUAAACUCCUGAACCCGGGACGAAACCCCCGACGAGGGGACUGACGGUACCGGGGUAAUAGCGCCGGCCAACUCCGUG
Molecule: ribosomal RNA, 473 nt
Filed under: uncultured bacterium
Lineage: Bacteria
Description: partial 16S ribosomal RNA
Rfam family: Bacterial small subunit ribosomal RNA
Source: RNAcentral